CCGCUGCGCGAUUUAGUUCAAUUUUUGUCGCUUGGUAAGUGGGUUGUGUGCGCGCGUGCAAUUUCUGCUCCAUCCAUUACAAUAGCACUAACAACAGACAUCACAUAACUCAAUCGGAGUGCGGGCUAAAUUGCAUUGAAGCGGAUGUGUUUUGCGCCGCGUUCGGCACAAAGUUGCAUUGAUAUGAAACUCAAAAUGUGACUCCGGCUCUGGACGAAUAUUAAAUCUUUCAGCGGCAAUUGCAAAAAUAAAAU
Long non-coding RNA from Rhagoletis zephyria (snowberry fruit fly), 254 nucleotides. RefSeq lists it as uncharacterized. The record is from RefSeq and is a predicted model, not a curated record. Lineage: Eukaryota; Metazoa; Arthropoda; Insecta; Diptera; Tephritidae.